Molecule: long non-coding RNA, 1160 nt
Filed under: Lonchura striata (white-rumped munia)
Lineage: Eukaryota; Metazoa; Chordata; Aves; Passeriformes; Estrildidae
Description: domestica (Bengalese finch) lncRNA (ENSLSDG00000017278.1)
Source: RNAcentral
GCUGUGGUGUGUCUGCUCUGCCUUCAGCUGAUGAUCGCUGUGCCCCCAGAGCCGCCCGAGCACUGGUGCCGCUAUCAGGGCCCGGAAUGGCUGCGUGUGACUGUGUAACUGUGUGUGUGACUGUGUGUGUGACUGUGUGUGUGACUGUGUGACUGUGUGUGACUGUGUGUGACUGUGUGUGUGACUGUGUGUGACUGUGUGUGUGACUGUGUGUGUGACUGUGACUGUGUGUGUGACUGUGUGUGUGACUGUGUGUGGCUGUGUGUGGCUGUGUGUGUGGCUGUGUGUGACUGUGUGUGUGACGUUGCGUGUGACUGUUUGUGUGACUGUGUGUGACUGUGUGUGUGGCUGUGUGUGACUGUGUGUGUGACGUUGCGUGUGACUGUGUGUGUGACUGUGUGUGACUGUGUGUGUGACUGUGUGUGGCUGUGUGUGUGACUGUGUGUGUGACUGUGUGACUGUGUGUGUGACUGUGUGUGGCUGUGUGUGGCUGUGUGUGACUGUGUGUGUGAGCCCUGUCCGUGUGUCCGUCUGUGUGUGUGAGCCCUGUCCGUGUGUCCUUCUGUGUGUGUGAGCCCUGUCCGUGUGUCUGUCUGUGUGUGUGAGCCCUGUGUGUCUGUCUCUGUGUGUGAGCCCUGUCUGUGUGUCUGGCUGUGUGUGAGCCCUGUCUGUGUGUCUGUCUCUGUGUGUGAGCCCUGUCUGUGUGUCUGUCUCUGUGUGUCUGGCUGUGUGUGUGAGCCCUGUCCGUGUGUCUGGCUGUGUGUGAGCCCUGUCCGUGUGUCUGUCUCUGUGUGAGCCCUGUCUGUGUGUCUGUCUCUGUGUGAGCCCUGUCUGUGUGUCUGGCUGUGUGUGUGAGCCCUGUCUGUGUGUCUGGCUGUGUGUGAGCCCUGUCUGUGUGUCUGUCUGUGUGUGUGAGCCCUGUCUGUGUGUCUGUCUGUGUGUGAGCCCUGUCUGUGUGUCUGGCUGUGUGUAAGCCCUGUCUGUGUGUCUGUCUGUGUGUGUGAGCCCUGUGUGUCUGUCUCUGUGUGUGAGCCCUGUCUGUGUGUCUGUCUGUGUGUGUGAGCCCUGUCUGUGUGUCUGACCCCGCCGAGCCCGCGGGGCGCUCCCGCCGCAAGAUGGCGGCGCCGCGGCCCCGCCCCCGCCUCGCCCAAGAUGGCGGC